This 561-nucleotide ribosomal RNA is filed under the name Scorpaenopsis venosa (raggy scorpionfish). Its description in RNAcentral is "partial 16S ribosomal RNA". It matches the Rfam family "Bacterial large subunit ribosomal RNA", at positions 589 to 1361 of the family's 2925-position model. Lineage: Eukaryota; Metazoa; Chordata; Actinopteri; Perciformes; Scorpaenidae. The record is from RNAcentral.
AGAUUUGUCCUCGUACCUUUUGCAUCAUGAUUUAGCUAGUGUGCCCAAGCAAAACGCGUUUUAGUUUGAUACCCCGAAACUAAGUGAGCUACUUCAGGACAGCCUAUUUAUAGGGCGAACCCGUCUCUGUGGCAAAAGAGUGGGAAGAUCUUCAAGUAGAGGUGAUAGACCUACCGAACUUUGUUAUAGCUGGUUGUCCGAGAAUUGGAUAGAAGUUCAGCCUCCUAUACUUCUCUAUUAACCCCAGUACUACACACCUGAUAAAACGAGAAGCUGGGAGAGUUAGUCGAAGGGGGUACAGCCCCUUUGACCAAAGAUACAACUUUAAUGGGAGAUUUAAGAUCAUAUUAAGGUUUAAGGACAAGUACUUAGGUGGGCCUAAAAGCAGCCACCCUAGGGAAAGCGUUACAGCUCAAGUACAUUUUCCAUCCGUUUAUUACGAUCAUCAACUCUUAUACCCCAACCCCUAUCGGACCACCCCAUGGCGACCAUGGGAAAGACCCUGCUAAUAUGAGUAAUAAGAGAGCCAAGACUCUCUCCUCGCACAAGUGUAACUCGGAU